GGCGUUGUGGCUCAGUGGUAGAGUACUUGCCUCUCAUGUGCAAGGCCCUGGGUUCGCUCUUCAGCGCCA
Molecule: transfer RNA, 69 nt
Filed under: Marmota marmota marmota (Alpine marmot)
Lineage: Eukaryota; Metazoa; Chordata; Mammalia; Rodentia; Sciuridae
Also listed under: 1 other name
Rfam family: tRNA
About the family: Transfer RNA (tRNA) molecules are approximately 80 nucleotides in length.
Source: Rfam by way of RNAcentral